Molecule: transfer RNA, 74 nt
Filed under: Cyrtodactylus brevipalmatus
Lineage: Eukaryota; Metazoa; Chordata; Lepidosauria; Squamata; Gekkonidae
Description: tRNA-Asn
Source: RNAcentral
UAGGCUGAAGCCCGCUGGAUAGGGUGACUAGUUGUUAACUGGGUUUUUACGGGAUCGAGGCCCGUCGGCCUAGU